UCGGACGUGGGGUAGUAGUGAACCUGCUCCCCUCCCAAGGGAGAGAGUGAGUGCCGCAGCUGUCAACUGCUCAAACGCCUGCUAACAAUGUCAAUAGCCCGGGUGCAAAUCCCGGCGUUCGAA
Non-coding RNA from Trichoderma simmonsii, 123 nucleotides. The record is from the annotation of a GenBank genome assembly. Lineage: Eukaryota; Fungi; Ascomycota; Sordariomycetes; Hypocreales; Hypocreaceae.